CAGCCGCCACGGUAAUACGUAGGGUGCAAGCGUUAAUCGGAAUUACUGGGCGUAAAGCGUGCGCAGGCGGUUAUAUAAGACAGAUGUGAAAUCCCCGGGCUCAACCUGGGAACUGCAUUUGUGACUGUAUAGCUAGAGUACGGCAGAGGGGGAUGGAAUUCCGCGUGUAGCAGUGAAAUGCGUAGAUAUGCGGAGGAACACCGAUGGCGAAGGCAAUCCCCUGGGCCUGUACUGACGCUCAUGCACGAAAGCGUGGGGAGCAAACAGGAUUAGAUACCCGCGUAGUCCCUGUCUCUUAUAC
This 301-nucleotide ribosomal RNA is filed under the name uncultured bacterium. Its description in RNAcentral is "partial 16S ribosomal RNA". It matches the Rfam family "Bacterial small subunit ribosomal RNA", at positions 509 to 807 of the family's 1533-position model. The record is from RNAcentral.